RNAcentral lists this ribosomal RNA (255 nucleotides) under uncultured bacterium. RNAcentral describes it as "partial 16S ribosomal RNA". The stretch from base 27 to 255 matches the Rfam family "Bacterial small subunit ribosomal RNA", at positions 550 to 776 of the family's 1533-position model. The record is from RNAcentral.
UACCAGCACCCCGAGUGGUCGGGACGAUUAUUGGGCCUAAAGCAUCCGUAGCCGGUCAUGCAAGUCUUCCGUUAAAUCCAGCCGCUCAACGGUUGGGCUGCGGAGGAUACUACGUGGCUAGGAGGCGGGAGAGGCAAGCGGUACUCAGUGGGUAGGGGUAAAAUGCGUAGAUAUAUGAAAGAACAUCAAUGUGGCGAAGGCAGUUAACUAGUCUGUUACUGACAUUGAGGCAUGAAAGCGUGGGGAGCAAAACGG